UCCAGACUCCUACGGGAGGCAGCAGUGGGGAAUAUUGCACAAUGGGGGAAACCCUGAUGCAGCGACGCCGCGUGAGUGAAGAAGUAUUUCGGUAUGUAAAGCUCUAUCAGCAGGGAAGAAAUAGCGACCUUUGGGUCGCCAGACGGUACCUGACUAAGAAGCCCCGGCUAACUACGUGCCAGCAGCCGCGGUAAUACGUAGGGGGCAGGCGUUAUCCGGAUUUACUGGGUGUAAAGGGAGCGUAGACGGCAGUACAAGUCUGAAGUGAAAUGCCGGGGCUUAACCCCGGAACUGCUUUGGAAACUGUGCAGCUAGGGUGCAGGAGAGGUAAGUGGAAUUCCUAGUGUAGCGGUGAAAUGCGUAGAUAUUAGGAGGAACACCAGUGGCGAAGGCGGCUUACUGGACUGUAACUGACGUUGAGGCUCGAAAGCGUGGGGAGCAAACAGGAUUAGAUACCCUGGUACG
Molecule: ribosomal RNA, 465 nt
Filed under: uncultured bacterium
Lineage: Bacteria
Description: bacterial SSU rRNA
Rfam family: Bacterial small subunit ribosomal RNA
Source: RNAcentral